GAUGAACGCUGGCGGCGUGCCUAAUACAUGCAAGUCGAGCGAACGGACGAGAAGCUUGCUUCUCUGAGGUUAGCGGCGGACGGGUUAGUAACACGGGGAUAACCUACCUGUAAGACUGGGAUAACUUCGGGAAACCGGAUCUAAUACGGGAGAAUAUUUUGAACCGCAUGGUUCAAAAGUGAAAUACGGUGGUGCUGUCACUUAUAGAUGGAUCCGCGCUGCAUUAGAUAGUUGGUAAGGGAACGGCUUACCAAGGCAACGAUGGAUAGCCGACCUGAGAGGGAGGACGGCCACCCGGGAAGAGAGAAACGGUCACGACACUGACGGGAGGACGCAGUCCGAACUCCUACGGAAUGGGGGAAAGCGUGACGGAGCAACGUGGCGUGAGUGAUGAAGGUGCUCGGCUCGGAAAAUGAUGUAAUUAGGGAAGAACAUAUGUGUAAGUAACUGUGCAGAUCUUGACGGUACCUAAUCAGAAAGCCCCGGCUAACUACGUG
RNAcentral lists this ribosomal RNA (497 nucleotides) under uncultured bacterium. RNAcentral describes it as "partial 16S ribosomal RNA". It matches the Rfam family "Bacterial small subunit ribosomal RNA", at positions 28 to 507 of the family's 1533-position model. The record is from RNAcentral.